AUUGAACGCUGGCGGCAUGCUUUACACAUGCAAGUCGAACGGUAACAGGGAGCUUGCUCCGCUGACGAGUGGCGAACGGGUGAGUAAUGCAUCGGAACGUACCCAGUCGUGGGGGAUAACGUAGCGAAAGUUACGCUAAUACCGCAUACGUCCUGAGGGAGAAAGCGGGGGACCGUAAGGCCUCGCGCGAUUGGAGCGGCCGAUGUCGGAUUAGCUAGUUGGUAGGGUAAAGGCCUACCAAGGCGACGAUCCGUAGCGGGUCUGAGAGGAUGAUCCGCCACACUGGGACUGAGACACGGCCCAGACUCCUACGGGAGGCAGCAGUGGGGAAUUUUGGACAAUGGGCGAAAGCCUGAUCCAGCCAUGCCGCGUGAGUGAAGAAGGC
Molecule: ribosomal RNA, 385 nt
Filed under: uncultured bacterium
Lineage: Bacteria
Description: bacterial SSU rRNA
Rfam family: Bacterial small subunit ribosomal RNA
Source: RNAcentral